UACGUAGGGUGCAAGCGUUAAUCGGAAUUACUGGGCGUAAAGCGUGCGCCGGCGGUUAUGUAAGACAGAGGUGAAAUCCCCGGGCUCAACCUGGGAACUGCCUUUGUGACUGCAUAGCUGGAGUACGGCAGAGGGGGAUGGAAUUCCGCGUGUAGCAGUGAAAUGCGUAGAUAUGCGGAGGAACACCGAUGGCGAAGGCAAUCCCCUGGGCCUGUACUGACGCUCAUGCACGAAAGCGUGGGGAGCAAACAGG
This 253-nucleotide ribosomal RNA is filed under the name uncultured bacterium. RNAcentral describes it as "partial 16S ribosomal RNA". It matches the Rfam family "Bacterial small subunit ribosomal RNA", at positions 524 to 776 of the family's 1533-position model. The record is from RNAcentral.